GUGUUGUAGGUUGUUGAUUACAAGGGACUCAUAAUCCAUUGGUCGUUGGUUCGAGUCCAACCAGAUCCACCA
RNAcentral lists this transfer RNA (72 nucleotides) under Betaproteobacteria bacterium. RNAcentral's name for it is "tRNA-Met". It matches the Rfam family "tRNA". Rfam says of the family: Transfer RNA (tRNA) molecules are approximately 80 nucleotides in length. Their secondary structure includes four short double-helical elements and three loops (D, anti-codon, and T loops). The record is from RNAcentral. Lineage: Bacteria; Pseudomonadati; Pseudomonadota; Betaproteobacteria.